Molecule: long non-coding RNA, 3438 nt
Organism: Cavia porcellus (domestic guinea pig)
Lineage: Eukaryota; Metazoa; Chordata; Mammalia; Rodentia; Caviidae
Exons: 2
Source: RefSeq, a predicted model, not a curated record
GGGAGCUAUCCAAAGAAAGAAUUCAAGCCAUAUUGCAGAUUCCAACCCCAGAAACUAAAAAACAAGUACAGGAGUUUCUGGGGGUGGCUGGAUACUGUAGGCUAUGGAUUCUAAAUUUUACUGAAAUAGCUCGCCCCCUGUAUGACUCCCUUAAGGGAGAAACUCAGAAUUCACUGAACUGGACUGAUGAAUGUAAACAGGCCUUCCAGCAGCUCAAGCCAGCCUUGACAGAGAGCCCAGCCCUAGGCUCCCUGACAUUACCACGCCAUUCACCUUGUUCAUAGAUGAACUCAGGGGCAUUGCCAAAGGAGUCCUAACCCAGGACAUCAGCCCUUGGAAGAGACCUAAAGCCUACCUCUCCAAAAGACUUGAUCUGGUGGCAGGAGGAUGGCCCCUCUGCCUGAGAAUGCUAGCUGCUGUGGCAAUGUUACUUAAAGAAGCUAAGAAACUCACUUUUGGACAAAAGAUUUCUGUGGUGACCUCCCACAGUGUAGAGACUCUUAUCAAAACCCCUCCUGAAAAGUGGCUGUCAAACGCUAGAAUUCUACACUAUCAGGCUCUGCUCCUAGACCCAGAGUCAGUGAUUUUCAAGACUUCUUCAGCCUUAAACCCAGCUAUUCUUAUGCCUGACAACAACCCUGAAGUUCACAGUGUGCCUCUCCAUGAGUGUGCUGAUCUCCUCGAAAUGCAGCAGAAUCUACAGGCUGAUCUUACUGACCAGCCUUUGGGGAAUGCUGAUAACUACUUCACCGACAGGAGCAGUUUCAUCCAGGAUGGCAAAUGAGUGGCUGGAGCAGCAGUGACCACUGAAAAAGAGGUACUCUGGGUUAAGCGGUUGGUUAGAGCCUGGCACCUCAGCCUAAAAGGCUGAGCUUAUUGCUUUGACCAAAGCAUUAAAGUUAGCCACCAGGAAGAGGGUAAAUAUCUAUACUGACAGUAGAUAUGCUUUUGCUACUGUACAUGUGCAUGGAGCCAUUUAUCAAGAGCCAGGUCUCUUAACCUCAGCUGGAACUAAGAUAAAAAAAAAUGCUCUACAGAUUCUAGACUUGCUGGCAGCUGUCUAGCUACCUCAGUGGGUUGCUAUUAUUCAUUACAAGGCCCAUCAGACAGGAGCCGACCCUAUCACCCUAGGAAACAAUGUAGCAGACCAGACCUCUGGAAUAGCAACCACGUUGCUAACCGAGGAGGUAACUGCUCUGAUGUUGAUUCCUCCCACCUUAUCAGAACCGGUUUACACAAAGAAAGACCUGCAGUUAUCAUCUCAACUUGGAGCAAAGUUCCUCACCCCAGGAGGUUGGUACCAAUUAACAGACAAGUGAGUGCUGUUGCCAGAGGCACUAGGACUUGAGCUGCUACACCAGGCUCACCAAACCACGCAUUUAAGGGGAACUAAACUUGCUGAAUUGUUCAGAACUAGGUUUUUCAUUCCAAGACUCUCCAAACUGACCACCUCUUUGAGCUCCAGAUGCCCGAAGUGUUUGUUAGUAAACCUGACCAAAAGCUCUCCCCUGGAGACCACCCGGCAUCGAGGAACUGCCCCAGGAGAACACUGGGAAGUAGACUUUACAGACAUGGUAAAGCCCAGUUUACAGGGACACUGCUAUCUUUUGGUAUUAAUAGACACCUUUACUGGCUGGAUAGAGGCUUUCCCUACCAAGUCUGAGUCAGCCUUAGUGGUAGCCAGAAAGCGAUCGCAUGAGAUCAUACCUCGAUUUGGCCUUCCAUUAACAAUGGGGUCCGAUAAUGGCCUGGCUUUCAUAGCCCAAAUCACCCAAAAGUUAGCCCAGGCAUUAAAAAUUAAUUGGAAACUCCAAUGUGUCUAUUGGCCACAAAGCUCAGGGCAAGUAGAACAUAUGAACUGAACUCUCAAGAACACUUUAGCUAAGCCUGUCUUGGGAAAUGGUGAUAAUUGGGUGAGCCUUCUUCCCUUUGCUCUGCUGUGAGCUAGAUGUACUCCUUAUAUUUCUGGAAUUUCCCCAUUUGAAGCUAUGUUUGGGAGAACCCCUCCACUGGUCCUGAGGCUCUCUGAGGACAAAUUAAUUGAAAUAACUAACCAAGAUCUCAUUAAGUCCCUGCAGGCACUCCAGCCUUUGCUGACCUCCAUCCACCAGCUGUUCAGACAAAAACACCCGGACCUGCCUUCAGAGACACCAUUAAAGACACCCAUCGAGCUGGGAACUUCAGUCUUAGUGUGACGCCAUCAUCUCGACACCCUUGAAUCCCGCUGGGAAGGACCUUUCACCGUGGUGCUCAGUAACCCCACUGCAGUCAAGGUUGCUGGAAAGACUCUGUGGAUUCACCAUACUCACAUGAAGCCACUAGAAACUGCAGACAACGAGGACCUCACCCAGUGGAAAGUGCACCGAACUGGGAUUGAACUCACAACUGCCUGCUUGCAAGGCAGGCGUUUAUGCUGCUGAAUUAAAUCCCCAGCCCCUGGAUCCUCAUUUCUACCAACCAACAGGUAAGCAAGAGAAGCCCAGUCCUUCCUAUUGUAGCUGGAAUUAGUAUAUUUUCAGCCAUUGGGCGGGUGGCCACCUCCCUGGGAGUCAGUACAUAUUAGUAUAACUUGCUAUCCCAGCAGGUAGAUGAGGGGAUGAAACAAAUUCAUGAUGCUAUCGAAGCUUUAGAAAGCUUGAUUGACUCGCUAGCUGAAGUGGCCCUUCAAAACCACCGAGAGUUAGAUCUCCUAUUAGUUGAAAAAGGAGGAUUAUGCUUAACUUUGGGGGAACAAUGCUGCCUAUAUGCUAACAAGUCUGGAAUAGUAAGAGAAAACUUAGGCGAACUCCAGAGGGGCCUUGAAGAAAGGGAAAAGCUAAGACAGGGAACUUCAGGAUGGAUGGAACAAAUGUUCUCCUUCUUACCAUGGGUAACUAGUUUAGUAGCUACCCUAGCUGGCUCCCUUGUCAUGAUCCUUCUACUAGUCACCCUGGGCCCCUGUAUAAUCAUUAAGCUGACUGUUUAUAUUAGAUAGCAAAUGCAGUGCAUAAAACUGAUGAUGAUCUGUCAACAAGCCUAUGAGCUUAUUCCCCAAGAUCCAUAACAUUAGGCCAAAGGUUUGGCCUCAGUCACAACAUCAGAGGGGAAUGUUAUGGCCUUGCUCUAACCAAUGCGCCUCUGUCCUGUUCUGUAUGCGUCAUUUCGAUAGGAUUAAAUUUCCAUUUCCAGUAAAGACUUAAGUUUCAGCUUCUUGUAAAUUCCCCCAAUUCCCUUCCACAUGUUUCUGCAAGGUGUGCUGUUCCAGGAAAAACGUUUAACUGCAGAGAGCAAUAGAAUGUAUAAAGAAUCCCAGAUGUUAUCUGAAAUAGGUCAACAGUUUUGCGGUUUUUAGUUUUAAAAACCCCAUCCUUAGUCUGUUAGGUGCACAGCCUUCCAUAUUGGCUACUGGAGGCUGCGUCGCCAGGCCUGGAAAUAAAGCCUUUGCUCCAAAUUUCUUAA